This is a non-coding RNA of Talaromyces islandicus, 76 nucleotides long. NCBI's taxonomy places the organism in Eukaryota, Fungi, Ascomycota, Eurotiomycetes, Eurotiales, Trichocomaceae. The record is from the annotation of a GenBank genome assembly.
GGUUCUGUGUUCUAGUGGUUAUGAACCUCGGUUCUGAUGACUCCGAGUAGCCCCGGUUCGAUUCCGGGCAGGACCU